UCUCUCUCUCUCUCUCUCAAACACUAUAAAUGGUUACAUUUUACUUGAGUAUCAAGGGAUUCCUACUGAAAUACACAAUAUCAGCUUCUUCAUCUCAUUUAUUUUAUCUCAUCAGUUAAGACCAAUCAUGGAACAUCACAUUUAUGAGAUUGAUUUUUUUACUUUUGUAACACAUAAUUUAUUCUAGAUAUCCAUGUCACCCAACUUGUGAUCCAAGUCUAUUUAUUACAAGGAUUGAUCAGUAGGAACUAGGACCUUUAACAUGACCAAAACCCAUCUAUUAGGCUUGAAAGAUCUACAGGAAACAACAAAGUAUGUAACAACAGAGGCAAACCAUGCAAGAUUAAUGGUAGAAAUUCGAUAUCAAGCUCCACGGAUGUGUUGGAUCUGCUGGAAAUGCAUCUGGGCUGCUCUGUUAUUAGCUGCUGCUUCAUCAUUUUCCUCAUCGUCCACAAUUGUAGUUGCAGAACUUGAGGUUGACUCGUAAGAAAAGAACAAGUGGAGUAGAGUUCCCAUUAUACAACCCAGUAUGGGAAGAGAGGAACACAUCACCAAGGCCUGUCUCAGAUUCAUCAUGUGAUUAGAUUGAAUUGGCUUAUGGCAGAUGAAAGAAAAUCCCUUGAAAAUGUG
This 630-nucleotide unclassified non-coding RNA is filed under the name Hevea brasiliensis (rubber tree). The record is from RNAcentral. Lineage: Eukaryota; Viridiplantae; Streptophyta; Magnoliopsida; Malpighiales; Euphorbiaceae.